UAGAGGAAGUAAAAGUCGUAACAAGGUCUCCGUUGGUGAACCAGCGGAGGGAUCAUUACUGAGUUUACGCUCUACAACCCUUUGUGAACAUACCUAUAACUGUUGCUUCGGCGGGCAGGGUCUCCGUGACCCUCCCGGCCUCCCGCCCCCGGGCGGGUCGGCGCCCGCCGGAGGAUAACCACACUCUGAUUUAACGACGUUUCUUCUGAGUGGUACAAGCAAAUAAUCAAAACUUUUAACAACGGAUCUCUUGGUUCUGGCAUCGAUGAAGAACGCAGCGAAAUGCGAUAAGUAAUGUGAAUUGCAGAAUUCAGUGAAUCAUCGAAUCUUUGAACGCACAUUGCGCCCGCCAGCAUUCUGGCGGGCAUGCCUGUUCGAGCGUCAUUUCAACCCUCAAGCUCUGCUUGGUGUUGGGGCCCUACGGCUGACGUAGGCCCUCAAAGGUAGUGGCGGACCCUCCCGGAGCCUCCUUUGCGUAGUAACUUUACGUCUCGCACUGGGAUCCGGAGGGACUCUUGCCGUAAAACCCCCAAUUUUCCAAAGGUUGACCUCGGAUCAGGUAGGAAUACCCGCUGAACUUAAGCAUAUCAAUA
This 593-nucleotide ribosomal RNA is filed under the name Colletotrichum cigarro. RNAcentral describes it as "eukaryotic LSU rRNA". The stretch from base 231 to 384 matches the Rfam family "5.8S ribosomal RNA". The record is from RNAcentral. Lineage: Eukaryota; Fungi; Ascomycota; Sordariomycetes; Glomerellales; Glomerellaceae.